This 207-nucleotide ribosomal RNA is filed under the name uncultured bacterium. Its description in RNAcentral is "partial 16S ribosomal RNA". It matches the Rfam family "Bacterial small subunit ribosomal RNA", at positions 568 to 774 of the family's 1533-position model. The record is from RNAcentral.
CGCGUAGGCGAGGUCGUGGGUCGGCCGUGAAAUCCACCGGCUCAACCGGUGAACUGCGGUCGAAACUACGACUCUUGAGCUCGGUAGAGGAAGGCGGAAUUCCUGGUGUAGCGGUGGAAUGCGUAGAUAUCAGGAAGAGCACCGGUAGCGAAGGCGGCCUUCUGGGCCGUAGCUGACGCUGAGGCGCGAAAGCCGGGGGAGCGAACA